CUCUUCCCAUUCCGAACAGAGAAGUUAAGUCCCUCAUGGCCGAUGGUACUCGCGUUAAGCCGGGAGAGUAGGUAGCUGCCAUAU
This 84-nucleotide ribosomal RNA is filed under the name Chitinophagaceae bacterium BSSC1. Lineage: Bacteria; Pseudomonadati; Bacteroidota; Chitinophagia; Chitinophagales; Chitinophagaceae. The record is from RNAcentral.